RNAcentral lists this ribosomal RNA (465 nucleotides) under Vreelandella stevensii. RNAcentral's name for it is "partial 16S ribosomal RNA". It matches the Rfam family "Bacterial small subunit ribosomal RNA", at positions 338 to 795 of the family's 1533-position model. The record is from RNAcentral. Lineage: Bacteria; Pseudomonadati; Pseudomonadota; Gammaproteobacteria; Oceanospirillales; Halomonadaceae.
CCUACGGGGGGCAGCAGUGGGGAAUAUUGGACAAUGGGGGCAACCCUGAUCCAGCCAUGCCGCGUGUGUGAAGAAGGCCCUCGGGUUGUAAAGCACUUUCAGUGAGGAAGAACGCCUGGUGGUUAAUACCCAUCAGGAAAGACAUCACUCACAGAAGAAGCACCGGCUAACUCCGUGCCAGCAGCCGCGGUAAUACGGAGGGUGCGAGCGUUAAUCGGAAUUACUGGGCGUAAAGCGCGCGUAGGUGGCUUGAUAAGCCGGUUGUGAAAGCCCCGGGCUCAACCUGGGAACGGCAUCCGGAACUGGCAAGCUAGAGUGCAGGAGAGGAAGGUGGAAUUCCCGGUGUAGCGGUGAAAUGCGUAGAGAUCGGGAGGAAUACCAGUGGCGAAGGCGGCCUUCUGGACUGACACUGACGCUGAGGUGCGAAAGCGUGGGUAGCAAACAGGAUUAGAUACCCUUGUAGUC